Molecule: ribosomal RNA, 814 nt
Filed under: uncultured bacterium
Lineage: Bacteria
Description: bacterial SSU rRNA
Rfam family: Bacterial small subunit ribosomal RNA
Source: RNAcentral
ACCAUAGUACGCUUUGGAAACUGUUUAACUUGAGUGCAGAAGGGGAGAGUGGAAUUCCAUGUGUAGCGGUGAAAUGCGUAGAUAUAUGGAGGAACACCGGUGGCGAAAGCGGCUCUCUGNUCUGUAACUGACGCUGAGGCUCGAAAGCGUGGGGAGCGAACAGGAUUAGAUACCCUGGUAGUCCACGCCGUAAACGAUGAGUGCUAGGUGUUAGGCCCUUUCCGGGGCUUAGUGCCGCAGCUAACGCAUUAAGCACUCCGCCUGGGGAGUACGACCGCAAGGUUGAAACUCAAAGGAAUUGACGGGGGCCCGCACAAGCGGUGGAGCAUGUGGUUUAAUUCGAAGCAACGCGAAGAACCUUACCAGGUCUUGACAUCCCGAUGCCCGCUCUAGAGAUAGAGUUUUACUUCGGUACAUCGGUGACAGGUGGUGCAUGGUUGUCGUCAGCUCGUGUCGUGAGAUGUUGGGUUAAGUCCCGCAACGAGCGCAACCCUUAUUGUUAGUUGCCAUCAUUCAGUUGGGCACUCUAGCGAGACUGCCGGUAAUAAACCGGAGGAAGGUGGGGAUGACGUCAAAUCAUCAUGCCCCUUAUGACCUGGGCUACACACGUGCUACAAUGGCUGGUACAACGAGUCGCAAGUCGGUGACGGCAAGCUAAUCUCUUAAAGCCAGUCUCAGUUCGGAUUGUAGGCUGCAACUCGCCUACAUGAAGUCGGAAUCGCUAGUAAUCGCGGAUCAGCACGCCGCGGUGAAUACGUUCCCGGGCCUUGUACACACCGCCCGUCACACCACGAGAGUUUGUAACACCCGAAGU